CUCUCCUCCUCCUACGUGAGCAAUCUGCAGCACGGAACAGAGCGGUGGCAAGAGUGGAGCCCAGGGUGGAUCUGCAGAGCCACAGGGGAAGCGGAGACCAAGCCAUACUCCACAAGUUCUGCCUCCUCCCAGCACCUCCAGUCCUCGCGGAAGGACAGCAACACCCUUUCCACCAUGAUGAAGAAGAACAAGAAGGGGUGUGACUGCAAAGGUCUCUUGAAGAACAGCUGGCUCUAGCUCAGCACGAUAUUCACCGUGUUGCUGGGACCUUGAGAGACAACGGCAGGACCCAACAAGGAACGAAGGCACAUCCGUCAGCAGAAACCGCAACGGUAAAGAUAAGGGAGAAAAACAGCCUGCCUAGGAACAACGAUGAGACCCAAUAAGGAGCAGGAGACCCCAGACCUAAAAAUUACUAUUGAUCUGAACUACCGCGUGAGGGGUGGGAAACUUAAGUUGAAAAAGCUAUAAUUGCCCAGGGAUUUCUUUGUUCGGGGUCCCUCUUCGGAGGCACCCAGCUCGAGCUGUAAUUAUGGCACGCGUGUCAUUAAAAUUUAAUUAUUUAA
Dromaius novaehollandiae (emu) is the source of this 566-nucleotide long non-coding RNA. RefSeq lists it as uncharacterized. NCBI's taxonomy places the organism in Eukaryota, Metazoa, Chordata, Aves, Casuariiformes, Dromaiidae. The record is from RefSeq and is a predicted model, not a curated record. The transcript is spliced from 2 exons.